RNAcentral lists this transfer RNA (67 nucleotides) under Lunella aff. cinerea STW-2013. RNAcentral describes it as "tRNA-Lys". Lineage: Eukaryota; Metazoa; Mollusca; Gastropoda; Trochida; Turbinidae. The record is from RNAcentral.
UUUUGGGUGGCUGAGUUUAAGCGUUAGACUUUUAAUUUAAUUACGAUGUUAUGAAUAUCCCCGGCAC